This 245-nucleotide ribosomal RNA is filed under the name uncultured bacterium. RNAcentral's name for it is "partial 16S ribosomal RNA". It matches the Rfam family "Bacterial small subunit ribosomal RNA", at positions 524 to 768 of the family's 1533-position model. The record is from RNAcentral.
UACGUAGACCUCAAGCGUUAUCCGGAUUUAUUGGGCGUAAAGCGCGUGUAGAUGGUUUUGUGCGUCUCUGGUUAAAGACCACCGCCUAACGGUGGAAGUGCCAGGGAUACGACAGAACUAGAGGAAGUUAGAGGCAAGUGGAACGCACGGUGUAGGGGUGAAAUCCGUUGAUAUCGUGCGGAACACCAAAGGCGAAGGCAGCUUGCUGGGACUUUCCUGACAUUGAGACGCGAAAGCGUGGGGAG